Non-coding RNA from Planctomycetes bacterium RBG_16_41_13, 84 nucleotides. The record is from Rfam. Lineage: Bacteria; Pseudomonadati; Planctomycetota.
GCCGAAGUGGCGGAAUUGGCAGACGCGCUAGAUUCAGGUUCUAGUGGUGGCAACACCAUAAGGGUUCAAAUCCCUUCUUCGGCA